This is a non-coding RNA of Misgurnus anguillicaudatus (oriental weatherfish), 2036 nucleotides long. Lineage: Eukaryota; Metazoa; Chordata; Actinopteri; Cypriniformes; Cobitidae. The record is from RefSeq and is a predicted model, not a curated record.
ACUGUAAAAAAUUUCUGUAAAUUUACAUGGAAAUUCAACAGCAAAAUGCUGUUUUCGUGUAAUAACAGUAUGUUGCUGUUUUUUACAGUGCAUUGUGGGUAGACUCGCUCACUUCAGGUCUGUUGUCGAGCAACAACAGAAUGUUACUGUUAUUUAACAGUAUUAUAGCAUAUUUUUCGUUGUGCACGCCAUUUUGGAUUGUCUGCAUGAGGUAGGUCUGCAACUUUAUCGAUGCUUGUGCUAUUUUUAAAUUACAUAUUACUUUUAAAUAUUGCAUUUUAUCCAGUGAAGCUUUUCAAAAAUAAAUCAGAUUUAAUUUCCUAUUUUAAUCAGGCAAAGUGGGUAUUCUACCAUCACAUCAGUUACACUCACAUCAGAUCACAGGGUUAUUUUGGUGCUUUGGUGCUAUUUUUGUCCUUAUUCCCUUUUCGUGCAUUGUGUAGACAAACAAAUAUUACAGAUAUUAUUAAGAUGUGUGCCACUCCUGCUGACUUUGAGAAGACUAUAACUCACCUGUGACACCUUGUUUGAUCCUGUUUGGUGAUACUCAGGGACAAUGGAUUAAACAAUGGAUGAUCAGCCUGAAAGCCAAAAGAAUCUGCAAGGGUGUUCAGCCAACAUGUCUCACUGGACUUGCUGAAUUGUUUUCUUUGUAUAACAUCUUCAACUUGCAAAAAGUGAGAGCAGCAUCCAUACUGGAAGUCCUUCAAAGACGCUUCAUUAAAAUCAAACCGGGAACCAAGGCUGCAAAGGGAAAAGUGACCUCUAAAACAGAAAACUGCAAAACAAGACCAUCAACAGUCAGUCUCAAACUAUCAAAUCUUUUAAAAAGACUUAUGGACUUGAGUGGUACUUUAUUUAAAAUGUAGCUGACACUUCCCACCAAUACAGUUUUUUUUUAAUAUGGUGGGCUGCAGUGAUGGCAGGUGACUUCUCUGAGGAGGCACGAAUGCAAAUAGCCAAAACAUCGUCAUGUGUGUGGCUCAUCAUUUCAAAAUGUGCGUUCGGCGCGUCAUGUGAACCUGUGCAUCACGUGUCAUGUCAAAAUACGUGCCUGCUCCAGACACUUUGAAGGGGAUUAUGAUAAAAGAAAUGCUCGCUUUUGCCAUACUAGCUUAAUCUCAUGUGUAAUCAGAGUUUAGUGUUAAAUUAGUGUCUUGUGAGUAUCAUGUCUUUUUUAUUCUUUAUCAUAUUCAAAGCGUUUGCGGCAGGCACGUAUUUUGACAUGAUGUGUGAUCCAUAUAGGUUCGCUGGUGGGGUGGUGUUUUUAAUACUGGUUUGUAUAUUAUAGACCAUGUUUUCGUAUUUAAAAUUGGGCUGGUGUCUGUUAAAAAACAGAUUAUUAGCGAAUUAAUGUUUUAUUGAAUUCUUUUAAAAAUGUGGUGUUUUUACAGUUGUAAAACUUUUGUGCUUUUUUUAAAUCAAAAUUUUAAACUACAUUUGUAUUUUAAGUAAAGAUAAGGCAUCUCAAUAUUGUUCUUUGUUUAUUUGAUUUUUUUGUGUCAUUUUUGUAUUAUAGUAUGUUAUUGGUGCCUUUUAAUUGCACCACAGUUUAUGCACUGAAUAUUAAAAUAUAUCUGCUUGUAUUUCUGCUUGUUUUAUGGCAUAACAAACAUAGCAUAACAGUCAAUCUGGUGUUGAAUAGAAUAAAGAAUAAAAAAAUUCAUAACCUGGCCUUUUUUGUUUUAUGUUAUCCACUUUGACAAAUAUAAAAUGCAGGGUAUAAUAGCAUUUCAAUUUUAAAAUAAUGGAGGUGUGACUAAUAUGUACUGUAAAUUAACAGGUAUAUGAUGCUAAAUAACAGUUUUAUGCUGUAGAUAACAAAAACAGUAUCAUGCUAUUAAAUAACAGCUGUAUUCUGUAGAUAACAAAAACAGUACCAUGCUGUUAAAAUAACAGUUGACUGCUGUAGGUAACAAAACAGUAUCAUGCUGUUUUUUCUAAUAACAGUAUUCCGCUGUAAAUUAACAGUGCAAUGCUGGCAACCACAGCUUCCAGCAUAAUACCGUUUUUUUACAGGGAAAUUUUUUACAGUG